CUAAAGAAUAUUCCGCAAUGGGGGGAAACCCUGACGGAGCGACGCCGCGUGGAUGAUGAAGGCCGGAAGGUUGUAAAAUCCUUUUGUGAGUGAGGAAUAAGCAGGGCAAGCAAAGGCCGUGCGGUGACUGUAGCUCAUGAAUAAGCACCGGCUAAUUACGUGCCAGCAGCCGCGGUAACACGUAAGGUGCGAGCGUUGUUCGGAAUCAUUGGGCGUAAAGGGCAUGUAGGCGGAACUGCAAGCCCGGUGUGAAAACCCUGAGCUCAACUCAGGAACUGCGCCGGGAACUGCAGAACUGGAGUCACUGAGGGGAAACCGAUUCCAGGUGUAGGGGUGAAAUCUGUAGAUAUCUGGAAGAACACCAAUGGCGAAAGGCAGGUUUCCAGCAGAUGACUGACGCUGAGGUGCGAAGGUGCGGGGAGCAAACAGGAUUAGAUACCCUGGGUAGU
This 449-nucleotide ribosomal RNA is filed under the name uncultured Treponema sp. Its description in RNAcentral is "bacterial SSU rRNA". It matches the Rfam family "Bacterial small subunit ribosomal RNA", at positions 354 to 794 of the family's 1533-position model. The record is from RNAcentral. Lineage: Bacteria; Pseudomonadati; Spirochaetota; Spirochaetia; Treponematales; Treponemataceae.